Molecule: long non-coding RNA, 687 nt
Organism: Zophobas morio
Lineage: Eukaryota; Metazoa; Arthropoda; Insecta; Coleoptera; Tenebrionidae
Exons: 3
Source: RefSeq, a predicted model, not a curated record
AGAUAACAGGCAGUUGUUUUCUAAAUACUCAAAAAUAACAUCAUAACAUUCAGUCGGAGACCCUGGAGGGAGCCCACGUCAAUGUUUCCUGUGUUGGUGCUACUCGUUCUCUUCAGGUGUUCGGUACUUUUGAAAAAACCUCGUAACCAAAAUACCAUUUGGCCAGGUAAUUUUAAUUUUUGGAGUGGUCGGUGCUACUAGACGGCAAAAGCUAAUUUCCCUGAAAACCACAGUGUCGAAGACCAUAACACUCAUUUCUUGGUCAAGCUUGUGAAAACAAAAAAAAAAACUGAGAGAUCGUUUAAACACCUCAUAAUCGUUUUUUUGUUAAUUACGUUAAACGAAAAUGCACAGUACAACCUGUGGGAGUGCAUAAAAUUGCAAGUGUACCAAAUGUAGUAGCCAGAUUUCUCAGCUUAGAAAAUCCUUCAGCAUAUACCAGUCGCUGCUUCCGUCGUACUUCUGCUAGCAUUCUGGCAAAUGCUGGAACCAGUAUGGAAGGUAUUAAGACACAUGGUGGAUGGCGGUCAUCGGCAGUGGUUGAAGGCUACAUCGACUAGUCAGAAAGUUCAGAAACUAAUGUUGCUUCAACAAUAUUAGGUACAACGGAAGAAUCAUUAGGGGAUUCAGUAAUAAAUUCUAGAAACAAAGAAAUAACAGAAAAUGCAUCAUCGUCUGGAUUCAAUA